This 1446-nucleotide long non-coding RNA is filed under the name Gadus morhua (Atlantic cod). RNAcentral's name for it is "lncRNA (ENSGMOG00000025004.1)". The record is from RNAcentral. Lineage: Eukaryota; Metazoa; Chordata; Actinopteri; Gadiformes; Gadidae.
AUGACGACGUGUGCGUGCGUUUGUGCACACCGCGCCCUCCGAAUGCACAACACAUGUGUUUACCAUCACACAUUCCUUCUAUUCCAUCAGGUUUGUGUUCUCUCCCUCUCACGUAUCGCCUCCGCCUCUUCCUCUCACAUAUCUGCUCCUCUUCCUCUCCCUCCUGUCUCCUCCUCUCCUCUCCCUCCUGUCUCCUCUCCUCUCCCUCCUGUCUCCUCUCCUCUCCCUCCUGUCUCCUCUCCCUCCUGUCUCCUCCUCUCCUCUCCCUCCUGUCUCCUCUCCUCUCCCUCCUGUCUCCUCUCCUCUCCCUCCUGUCUCCUCUCCCUCCUGUCUCCUCUCCUCUCCCUCCUGUCUCCUGUCCUCUCCUCCUGUCUCCUCUCCUCUCCCUCCUGUCUCCUCUCCUCUCCCUCCUGUCUCCUCUCCUCUCCCUCCUGUCUCCUCUCCUCUCCCUCCUGUCUCCUCUCCUCUCCCUCUUGUCUCCUCCUCUCCCUCCUGUCUCCUCUCCUCUCCCUCCUGUCUCCUCUCCUCUCCCUCCUGUCUCCUCUCCUCUCCCUCAUGUCUCCUCUCCUCUCCCUCCUGUCUCCUCUCCUCUCCCUCCUGUCUCCUGUCCUCUCCUCCUGUCUCCUCUCCUCUCCCUCCUGUCUCCUCUCCUCUCCCUCCUGUCUCCUCUCCCUCCUGUCUCCUCUCCUCUCCCUCCUGUCUCCUCUCCCUCCUGUCUCCUCUCCUCUCCCUCCUGUCUCCUCUCCUCUCCCUCCUGUCUCCUCCUCCCCUCCUGUCUCCUCCUCACCUCCUGUCUCCUCUCCUCUCCUGUCUCCUCUCCUCCCCUCCUGUCUCCUCCUCACCUCCUGUCUCCUCUCCUCUCCUGUCUCCUCUCCUCUCCUGUCUCCUCUCCUCUCCCUCCUGUCUCCUCUCCUCUCCCUCCUGUCUCCUCCCCUCCCCUCCUGUCUCCUCCUCCCCUCCUGUCUCCUCCUCCCCUCCUGUCUCCUCUCCUCUCCUGUCUCCUCUCCUCUCCCUCCUGUCUCCUCUCCUCCCCUCCUGUCUCCUCCUCCCCUCCUGUCUCCUCCUCCCCUCCUGUCUCCUCCUCCCCUCCUGUCUCCUCUCCUCUCCUGUCUCCUCUCCUCCCCUCCUGUCUCCUCUCCUCUCCAGCCCACCAUCUUCACAGACUCCUCUUGCCUGACCUUUCAGCUGCCGACAUUGUCUCCUCCUCCGUCUCCUGUUACAUCCAAACUUUAUCCUCCAUCUUCUCCUAUAUCGCCCCCCUCGGCCUUCCACCGGCCUCCCACCCUCUCACCUUUCUACUCCUGUAAUCCCCCCCCCCCCCCCCACACACACACACACACACACACACACACACACACACACACACACACACACACACACACACACACACACACACACACACACACACACACAACCUCCAUUUUACCUGCCAGUCUGUUUAUAUAA